This 333-nucleotide ribosomal RNA is filed under the name uncultured bacterium. RNAcentral describes it as "bacterial SSU rRNA". It matches the Rfam family "Bacterial small subunit ribosomal RNA", at positions 8 to 334 of the family's 1533-position model. The record is from RNAcentral.
AGGGUUUGAUUCUGGCUCAGGAUGAACGCUAGCGGCAGGCUUAACACAUGCAAGUCGAGGGGCAGCAUAAUGGAUAGCAAUAUCUAUGGUGGCGACCGGCGCACGGGUGCGUAACGCGUAUGCAACCUACCUUUAACAGGGGGAUAACACUGAGAAAUUGGUACUAAUACCCCAUAAUAUCAUAGAAGGCAUCUUUUAUGGUUGAAAAUUCCGAUGGUUAGAGAUGGGCAUGCGUUGUAUUAGCUAGUUGGUGGGGUAACGGCUCACCAAGGCGACGAUACAUAGGGGGACUGAGAGGUUAACCCCCCACACUGGUACUGAGACACGGACCAG